ACUCCUACGGGAGGCAGCAGUGGGGAAUAUUGCACAAUGGGCGCAAGCCUGAUGCAGCCAUGCCGCGUGUAUGAAGAAGGCCUUCGGGUUGUAAAGUACUUUCAGCAGUGAGGAAGGUGGGUAUGUUAAUAGCAUACUCAUUUGACGUUAGCUGCAGAAGAAGCACCGGCUAACUCCGUGCCAGCAGCCGCGGUAAUACGGAGGGUGCGAGCGUUAAUCGGAAUUACUGGGCGUAAAGCGCAUGCAGGUGGUUUGUUAAGUCAGAUGUGAAAGCCCGGGGCUCAACCUCGGAAUUGCAUUUGAAACUGGCAAACUAGAGUACUGUAGAGGGGGGUAGAAUUUCAGGUGUAGCGGUGAAAUGCGUAGAGAUCUGAAGGAAUACCGGUGGCGAAGGCGGCCCCCUGGACAGAUACUGACACUCAGAUGCGAAAGCGUGGGGAGCAAACAGGUUUAGAUACCCUGGUAGGCUGUGC
This 473-nucleotide ribosomal RNA is filed under the name uncultured bacterium. RNAcentral describes it as "bacterial SSU rRNA". It matches the Rfam family "Bacterial small subunit ribosomal RNA", at positions 335 to 800 of the family's 1533-position model. The record is from RNAcentral.